RNA transcript from Vollenhovia emeryi, 1760 nucleotides. RefSeq lists it as uncharacterized. The transcript is spliced from 3 exons. NCBI's taxonomy places the organism in Eukaryota, Metazoa, Arthropoda, Insecta, Hymenoptera, Formicidae. The record is from RefSeq and is a predicted model, not a curated record.
GCCGGCGGCCGCUGCGCAUCGGUGCUUUGACAUCGAGCUAGGAACCGCGUUUCAUCUCGCCGAAAUAUUAAUUUUCACCGGCGCGAUGCCAAUGCCGCGGCCCCCUUGGAAAUCGGCCGCUGCCUAACGAGGAACCGAAUGACUAAACGCGCCGGAGAAACGAGCACGGGCCAGUGCUAUACAGAUGCGAGGAAGCGCUCCACUCUCUUUCUGGAUCCGAGUAAAAUUAGCAAUCCAGAUGAACAUGACGGACUGGCAUUAAAGGAUUAAGUACGUGACACGGUUUCCGUGACGGUUGCGCGCAGAACGGUAUAAGUUAUCGUGGGAACUUUGCUUUCGGGAAUAACGGACGCGUUCGACCUGCACCGCGCGUCGGACGUGCGGAGGCAAUUUCCGGCCCGAGGUACGAAUUAUGAACUUGUAAAUAUGCGUGGUUGAAACGAGGCGAAGGCUGCUGCUGGCUCGUCGUUACUAUCAGCGGCCCGCUACGACGCACCACCCGUUCUUUUUUCACGCUGAAAUCUGGCAAAGGCCAAUUUGUCGAGAUCAUAUACAGCCGCUCGUAAAAUAGAGCACUCCUGCCAUCGGGAGUUGCCCGGAAUACCAAUGAGAUGCAGGCCGCCGCCGGAUGCCGUCAGCAACUUCAUGGGAACCGAGCAGCGGCAGGCUCCCGCUCGGCCGAGGAACGAUGUGCUAGGAGCGCAGCGACGCGAUUGACACACACUCGCGCAAACCGGAGCUCGGGGAAUCGACAAGAUCGGAUCGGUCUCGACUCUGCCGGCCGGUCCUUUAUAAAUCCAAAGCCGCAGCUGGCAAUUUCAAACCGCCUCCUCUCCGAUGCGCUUCCUGUAGGCGGGAAUGGGAGAUGAACUGUUGAAUCGUAAUCGAAUCGAAUACCUGCAUUGUUUCAGAUACGGCUAAGGUACCCCGUUGUUGCGCGAGCUGUACGAUAACCCUGUUUCAAUUGCUCUGUACUUUGAACCGUCAUGUAUUCCGCGAUGUUAUCCGUUUCGAGAGAGCACGAGUUCAAGCCACGUAGUAAUAAGUUAAUGGAAUAUCGCAAUAGAGUAUGAACUAAAAGGAUGCUUUAGUUACAUUUCAUUUUCCGCUAUAUUUUCACCUUUGAUAGAAAAAGAAAUUAUAAGACUUUUAAUUUGUAUAUAGGGGAGAGUUGCCGAAUGCGUACCACUUAAGGUAUUAUUUAUUAUACUGUCACUUGGUACCAAUUUGUACGCAUACAAUCGUUGGAAAUUGUAGUUUCACGUUUCAUUUACAUGUUUAACGUUUCCCUAAUAACAAAUUAAUUUGUUGUAAAGUCCUUUUGUAACAUGUUGCAAAAGGUAUAAUUUAAGAAACCGGUUGCAAAACCUCCUUGAAAUAGUCAAAUUUAUGAGUGAAAAUAAUAAAAAGUAGAGUAAAUAGCAUAAGAUUGAUAUAAGAAAGUAUUAACUAAUACUUAUUUUAUUAAUAACUUAUCUAAAAAAAGGGCAAAUAUUUAAUCAUUUGAAAGUAAUAAUUAACAAUAAUGGAAAGGACGUUAAAAUACACUUAGCUUAAAGUUAAUUUUGCAAUAUAUAUUUAUAUUUAUAUUAAUUGUAUUACUCUUAUACAAUAGAUAUCGUUUAUUGUUUAUAAAAUCGCGCCGGUACGAGAUAGAAAAUCUUAUGGUAGUCGAUUUAGGAAACUUGAUGGAUUUUGUGAAAAUAUUUAUUUAAUUCUUAUAAUAGUUGUAAAUAUGUAUAUACAACAAAUGUAAAAUA